GACGAACGCUGGCGGCGUGCUUAACACAUGCAAGUCGAACGGUAAGGCCCUUCGGGGUACACGAGUGGCGAACGGGUGAGUAACACGUGGGUGAUCUGCCCUGCACUUCGGGAUAAGCCUGGGAAACUGGGUCUAAUACCGGAUAGGACCACUGCCUGCAUGGGUGGUGGUGGAAAGCUUUUGCGGUGUGGGAUGGGCCCGCGGCCGAUCAGCUUGUUGGUGGGGUGAUGGCCUACCAAGGCGACGACGGGUAGCCGGCCUGAGAGGGUGACCGGCCACACUGGGACUGGGUUACGGCCCAGACUCCUACGGGAGGCAGCAGUAGGGAAUAUUGCACAAUGGGCGCAAGCCUGAUGCAGCGACGCCGCGUGAGGGAUGACGGCCUUCGGGUUGUAAACCUCUUUCAGCACCGACGAAGCGCAAGUGACGGUAGGUGCAGAAGAAGGACCGGCCAACUACGUGCCAGCCGCCGCCGUAA
Molecule: ribosomal RNA, 478 nt
Filed under: uncultured bacterium
Lineage: Bacteria
Description: partial 16S ribosomal RNA
Rfam family: Bacterial small subunit ribosomal RNA
Source: RNAcentral